RNAcentral lists this transfer-messenger RNA (335 nucleotides) under Mariniphaga sp. RNAcentral describes it as "partial transfer-messenger RNA". It matches the Rfam family "transfer-messenger RNA", at positions 1 to 314 of the family's 374-position model. Rfam says of the family: Bacterial tmRNA, also known as 10Sa RNA or SsrA, is named for its dual tRNA and mRNA-like properties. Its role is to liberate the mRNA from a stalled ribosome. The record is from RNAcentral. Lineage: Bacteria; Pseudomonadati; Bacteroidota; Bacteroidia; Marinilabiliales; Prolixibacteraceae.
GGGGCUGACCGGAUUUGACAGCAAGGAAGUGAUAAUGUAAGCAUGUCGAGCGUUGAGAAUAUGGCUCGUCCCGAAAGGGUACCAAUGGUAAAAAACUAAUUCUCAAAAGCCAAUAAAUGGCGAUAACUAUAAUUACGCGUUAGCAGCUUAGUCAAAAGAUUAAGUUACUGACUGUUUCCCGGGAAACCUUUCUCAACGGUGUCCCGUACGAAGCAUCAUAAAAGUUGAGAUAGUUCCGUUAAAGUCUUGGUAACGUAAUGAAUUUUUAGAGAAUACGGAUUUGAUUGGUGUUCCUUUCACCUGUUAAAUCCCGACAAUCAAUUAGAGGAUAAGCA